AUAAAUUGAUCCUUUAUGUCAGCAAAGUUUUUACUAGACACAGUUUUUCUUCAAGAUGUGUUUGGUUAGUGGAACUAGAGUAAAUAUUUCAUAGGACGAUAGCAGUAAAACUGAGUGGCAUGCAAAUACCUUCAUUGAUCUUGGACUUUCUGACUAGACAUCAUAAUGAAAGACACACUGGGAACUCGUGAGAGGAUGACUGGUCACUGUCCACUGUGAAGCAUUAUAUUGAUAUCCAGAUCCUGGGCCUGAAGUACUUCUGCAGAUAAAACAGAGUCCGCUGGAAAGCUGUGGGAGAUUUGCCCAGGUUGCAACAGAUUGUGAAAAUUUCAGCAUAGAUGGAAGAUGGUGUUACCAGAUUAUUUACUAGGCCUACUUCAGCUUUGUCCAAGGAAAGAACAAACCAUUGAAAGGAGGAAAAUGUUUCUGAUGAAGCUGUGCCACUGGGCAGAGUGGAAGGAAAGAUUCAUGUGAUUCUUAAGCUAGUGAAGAAGAGCCUGGCACUGUAUUUGG
This 513-nucleotide long non-coding RNA is filed under the name Cyanistes caeruleus (blue tit). Its description in RNAcentral is "lncRNA (ENSCCEG00000009162.1)". Lineage: Eukaryota; Metazoa; Chordata; Aves; Passeriformes; Paridae. The record is from RNAcentral.